CCAAUAGCGUAUAUUAAAGUUGUUGCAGUUAAAAAGCUCGUAGUUGAAUUUCGGGAUCAACAUGCCGGUCGUGCCUCCGGUACGUACUGGUAUCGUUGGUUUCUACCUUCUGACGAAUCACGAUGUCAUUAAUUUGGUGUCGUGGGGAAUCAGGACUGUUACUUUGAAAAAAUUAGAGUGUUUAAAGCAGGCACACGCUUGAAUACAUUAGCAUGGAAUAAUGAAAUAGGACGUUUGACCCUAUUUUGUUGGUUUCUAGGAUCGACGUAAUGAUUAAUAGGGAUAGUUGGGGGCAUUAGUAUUCAAUUGUCAGAGGUGAAAUUCUUGGAUUUAUUGAAGACUAACUACUGCGAAAGCAUUUGCCAAGGAUGUUUUCAUUAAUCAAGAACGAAAGUUAGGGGAUCGAAGACGAUCAGAUACCGUCGUAGUCUUAACCAUAAACUAUGCCGACUAGGGAUCGGAUGAUGUUAAUUUUUUAAUGACUCAUUCGGCGCCUUACG
This 500-nucleotide ribosomal RNA is filed under the name uncultured Glomeromycotina. RNAcentral's name for it is "partial small subunit ribosomal RNA". It matches the Rfam family "Eukaryotic small subunit ribosomal RNA", at positions 591 to 1092 of the family's 1831-position model. The record is from RNAcentral. Lineage: Eukaryota; Fungi; Glomeromycota.